UUAAACUAGCAUUAUAUCUGUCUGAUAUAACAAAAUUUACUUUGAUUUGGGUUAUUGGAUACACAGUUUAUUAUUAUUAUUAUUUUAAACACAGAGGUCUCUUUCUGCACGUGGUUGACAUGCAGGCUCUGCAAAAAAGACUGAAUUAGAGAAUUUGGUUGCAAAAAGAAAUGCAUCGUCAAUUAUAUGGAAAUAUUUUGGCUAUGGACAGUGUUGACCAAAAACAGGUACUUUGUCGUGAGUGCGUUGCAAUUGUGGCAACAACACAAGGCAACACGACCAACAGAGCUGUCCUAAGUGGAAUAUUAUACAUCAUCAACAUACUUGUGGUCCAGCCGGACAACGGAGCCCUACAUUAGUCUGACCGUACACUUUAUCAAUGAGGACUUCCACCUGAAAAGUUGCUGUUUGCAAACUGCAUUUUCCCCAGAGGAUCAUACAAGUGAGAACAUCGCAACAGGGAUGGGAGAAGCUUUAGCUGAUUAAGGCCUAGAUGAGAGUAGUCUAGUCUGUAUUACAACAGACAAUGCAGUGAACAUGGUGAAGGCUGCACCUGAACAAGUGGACCAGAUUGCAGUGCUUUGGCCACAGACUGCAUCUUGCAGUUGAAAAUGCAGUGAAAAAGGAUGUACUUGUUGACUGUGCUGCAGGUGUCUACAAGUUGUUCACUUCUCUCACAGCUGGAAGGCCAGAAGUGCUCUUGAAAGAGCCCAGAAGGAACUCAAUCUACCUUCACAUUCCCUCAUAUCAGAAUGCCAAACAAGAUGGGGUUCCAGACAGCAAGAUACUAGAGCAGCAGAAGGCUAUAACUCAGGUCCUGUUUGAGGACAGGAAGACAUGGCAUCUAAUUCUAACCUGGCAAAAUAUGGAUGUCCUGGAAUCUGUCAGUAAGUCACUGGGCCCACUGCUGGACUUCACAGAUGCUCCGUAGACACCUUCCAUAGACAAAGACCCACUUGCAUGGUGGAAAACACAUAAGCUUUCCAUAUCUCACCAAGCUUGCCUGCAAGUAUCUAUCCAUCCCCACUACAAGUUCCCCCUCAGAGAGGCUUUUCAGUACAAGUGGCAACAUUGUCACUUGCCAACGGUCAUGUCUCAAGCCUGUAAUUGUGAAUAGACUGGUAUUUUUGGCCAAAAACCUUCAAGUUUGAGUGAGCAAUGUAUACAUGCUUAAAGACAAGUUAUUAUAUUUGAAUAGAAUUUAGAUUUACUAUAAUAUUCUACAGUUGUAAGAAAGAAAUGUAUUCAUUUUACCAAGUAUUCUGUUUAGAAAGAAACCAGAUUGUAUACAGUUGAAAAGUUUAAUUUAAUCGGCAUUUGUCUAGCCAUGAUGAUCAUCACUGUUUUCCUUUGGCACUGUUGCUAAGAAAUGUUUAUUUUAAAAACAAAAGUUUGUGAAAUACAUUGGUUCUGUAUUGAUAUUUGUUAUUCAUGUUAAGUUCAUUGGUAUUUAUUGGUUUGGUUUUAUUAUUACAAAUUUAUAAACACUAUUUUGUUUUUGU
Molecule: long non-coding RNA, 1502 nt
Organism: Esox lucius (northern pike)
Lineage: Eukaryota; Metazoa; Chordata; Actinopteri; Esociformes; Esocidae
Source: Ensembl